CAGUGAGGAAUAUUGGUCAAUGGAGGCAACUCUGACCCAGCCAAGUAGCGUGCAGGACGACGGCCCUACGGGUUGUAAACUGCUUUUAUGCGGGGAUAAACGGCAUUACGUGUAGUGCUUUGCAGGUACCGCAUGAAUAAGGACCGGCUAAUUCCGUGCCAGCAGCCGCGGUAAU
This 175-nucleotide ribosomal RNA is filed under the name uncultured rumen bacterium. RNAcentral describes it as "partial 16S ribosomal RNA". It matches the Rfam family "Bacterial small subunit ribosomal RNA", at positions 352 to 524 of the family's 1533-position model. The record is from RNAcentral.